RNAcentral lists this ribosomal RNA (243 nucleotides) under uncultured bacterium. RNAcentral describes it as "partial 16S ribosomal RNA". It matches the Rfam family "Bacterial small subunit ribosomal RNA", at positions 88 to 334 of the family's 1533-position model. The record is from RNAcentral.
AUGGCGACCGGCGCACGGUGAGUAACGCGUAUGCAACUUACCUAUCAGGAGGGGAGUAGCCGGCGAAGUCGGAUUAAUACCCCAUAAACAGGGUCCCGCAUGGGAAUAUUUGUUAAAGAUUCAUCGCUGAUAGAUAGGCAUGCGUUCCAUUAGGCAGUUGGCGGGGUAACGGCCCACCAAACCGACGAUGGAUAGGGGUUCUGAGAGGAAGGUCCCCCACAUUGGUACUGAGACACGGACCAA